UCAAGUGAAGAAGCGCAUACGGUGGAUGCCUUGGCAGUCAGAGGCGAUGAAAGACGUGGUAGCCUGCGAAAAGCUUCGGGGAGUCGGCAAACAGACUUUGAUCCGGAGAUCUCUGAAUGGGGGAACCCACCUAGGAUAACCUAGGUAUCUUGUACUGAAUCCAUAGGUGCAAGAGGCGAACCAGGGGAACUGAAACAUCUAAGUACCCUGAGGAAAAGAAAUCAACCGAGAUUCCCUUAGUAGUGGCGAGCGAACGGGGAUUAGCCCUUAAGCUUCAUUGAUUUUAGCGGAACGCUCUGGAAAGUGCGGCCAUAGUGGGUGAUAGCCCCGUACGCGAAAGGAUCUUUGAAGUGAAAUCGAGUAGGACGGAGCACGAGAAACUUUGUCUGAACAUGGGGGGACCAUCCUCCAAGGCUAAAUACUACUGACUGACCGAUAGUGAACCAGUACCGUGAGGGAAAGGCGAAAAGAACCCCGGAGAGGGGAGUGAAAUAGAACCUGAAACCGUAUGCGUACAAGCAGUGGGAGCCUACUUGUUAGGUGACUGCGUACCUUUUGUAUAAUGGGUCAGCGACUUAUAUUCAGUGGCAAGCUUAACCGUAUAGGGUAGGCGUAGCGAAAGCGAGUCUUAAUAGGGCGUUUAGUCGCUGGGUAUAGACCCGAAACCGGGCGAUCUAUCCAUGAGCAGGUUGAAGGUUAGGUAACACUGACUGGAGGACCGAACCCACUCCCGUUGAAAAGGUAGGGGAUGACUUGUGGAUCGGAGUGAAAGGCUAAUCAAGCUCGGAGAUAGCUGGUUCUCCUCGAAAGCUAUUUAGGUAGCGCCUCAUGUAUCACUCUGGGGGGUAGAGCACUGUUUCGGCUAGGGGGUCAUCCCGACUUACCAAACCGAUGCAAACUCCGAAUACCCAGAAGUGCCGAGCAUGGGAGACACACGGCGGGUGCUAACGUCCGUCGUGAAAAGGGAAACAACCCAGACCGCCAGCUAAGGUCCCAAAGUUGUGGUUAAGUGGUAAACGAUGUGGGAAGGCUUAGACAGCUAGGAGGUUGGCUUAGAAGCAGCCAUCCUUUAAAGAAAGCGUAAUAGCUCACUAGUCGAGUCGGCCUGCGCGGAAGAUGUAACGGGGCUCAAACCACACACCGAAGCUGCGGGUGUCACGUAAGUGACGCGGUAGAGGAGCGUUCUGUAAGCCUGUGAAGGUGAGUUGAGAAGCUUGCUGGAGGUAUCAGAAGUGCGAAUGCUGACAUGAGUAACGACAAUGGGUGUGAAAAACACCCACGCCGAAAGACCAAGGGUUCCUGCGCAACGUUAAUCGACGCAGGGUUAGUCGGUUCCUAAGGCGAGGCUGAAAAGCGUAGUCGAUGGGAAACAGGUUAAUAUUCCUGUACUUCUGGUUACUGCGAUGGAGGGACGGAGAAGGCUAGGCCAGCUUGGCGUUGGUUGUCCAAGUUUAAGGUGGUAGGCUGAAAUCUUAGGUAAAUCCGGGGUUUCAAGGCCGAGAGCUGAUGACGAGUCGUCUUUUAGAUGACGAAGUGGUUGAUGCCAUGCUUCCAAGAAAAGCUUCUAAGCUUCAGGUAACCAGGAACCGUACCCCAAACCGACACAGGUGGUCGGGUAGAGAAUACCAAGGCGCUUGAGAGAACUCGGGUGAAGGAACUAGGCAAAAUGGCACCGUAACUUCGGGAGAAGGUGCGCCGGCUAGGGUGAAGGAUUUACUCCGUAAGCUCUGGCUGGUCGAAGAUACCAGGCCGCUGCGACUGUUUAUUAAAAACACAGCACUCUGCAAACACGAAAGUGGACGUAUAGGGUGUGACGCCUGCCCGGUGCCGGAAGGUUAAUUGAUGGGGUUAGCGCAAGCGAAGCUCUUGAUCGAAGCCCCGGUAAACGGCGGCCGUAACUAUAACGGUCCUAAGGUAGCGAAAUUCCUUGUCGGGUAAGUUCCGACCUGCACGAAUGGCG
RNAcentral lists this ribosomal RNA (1960 nucleotides) under Pseudomonas aeruginosa. RNAcentral's name for it is "bacterial LSU rRNA". It matches the Rfam family "Bacterial large subunit ribosomal RNA", at positions 3 to 2001 of the family's 2925-position model. The record is from RNAcentral. Lineage: Bacteria; Pseudomonadati; Pseudomonadota; Gammaproteobacteria; Pseudomonadales; Pseudomonadaceae.